Molecule: ribosomal RNA, 210 nt
Filed under: uncultured bacterium
Lineage: Bacteria
Description: partial 16S ribosomal RNA
Rfam family: Bacterial small subunit ribosomal RNA
Source: RNAcentral
UACGAGAACCCCAAGCGUUAUCCGGAAUCAUUGGGCGUAAAGGGUGUGUAGGUGGUCGCGUUAGUCUUCUGUCAAAACCUCGGGCUCAACCCGAGUCUUGCGGAGGAAACGGCGCGACUCGAGGAUGCGAGAGGUGAAUGGAACUCAUGGAGUAGGGGUAAUAUCCGUUGAUAUCAUGGGGAACACCAAAAGCGAAGGCAAUUCACUGGC